This 94-nucleotide small nucleolar RNA is filed under the name Vulpes vulpes (red fox). RNAcentral describes it as "Small nucleolar RNA SNORA72 (ENSVVUG00000006749.1)". It matches the Rfam family "Small nucleolar RNA SNORA72". From Rfam's summary of the family: U72 is a member of the H/ACA class of snoRNAs. The snoRNA gene is located in intron 4 of the ribosomal L30 protein gene in human, mouse and chicken. The record is from RNAcentral. Lineage: Eukaryota; Metazoa; Chordata; Mammalia; Carnivora; Canidae.
AUGCAGGGGGACAUUUGCUAUAUUAAGAUCACACAUGUGUCUCCAGACCUAGUUCUUUCUCUAGGUCUGGUUUUAUUUUAUUUUAUUUAUUUAU